AGCUAGAGGUGUAGGAACCACUGCAGUGCGGGAGCCAAUGCUGCUGCCAGAGCAUGGAAGCCGCUGCCCCUGCCGGACCACCAGAGUGGCUGGAGUGCAGGAGCCCUUGACUUAGCUAAAGCGCAGGAACCAAAGCCGCCCCCAAAUCAUGGGAGGAGGAGCCACUGCUCCCGCCGCUGCCGCUGCUGCUGCCGCCGCCACACCAGAGCAUGAAAGCAUCCAGUUCACAGGAGCCUCUGGAGUGCAGGAGCCAACGCUGCCACCGCCCAGGGAGAGUGGGAGCCGCUGGAGUACAGGAGCCAGUGAUACUGCCAUGAGAGCAAGGAAUCUAACGCUACAGAGGUGAUGGCGUCCAGAACUCAGGAGCCACCAACACUGCCCAUAGAGCACUGGAGCUGCUGGAGUGUAGGAGCCAAUGCUGUUGCAGCUGGGAUGCAGGACCUGCUGCCACCAGAGCUCAGAGCCGCCAACUAUGGGACCCAAGCCAAAGGAGGUGGUAGCAGCAUUCCUGGGAAGAUGGGCCAUGAAAAGAGGUGUGGCUUGGAGCAGGAACUGGAGAACCUAAGGAUAGUGGCUACCUGA
This 582-nucleotide long non-coding RNA is filed under the name Ictidomys tridecemlineatus (thirteen-lined ground squirrel). Its description in RNAcentral is "lncRNA (ENSSTOG00000031328.1)". Lineage: Eukaryota; Metazoa; Chordata; Mammalia; Rodentia; Sciuridae. The record is from RNAcentral.